This 10051-nucleotide long non-coding RNA is filed under the name Salmo salar (Atlantic salmon). RNAcentral's name for it is "lncRNA (ENSSSAG00000002398.2)". The record is from RNAcentral. Lineage: Eukaryota; Metazoa; Chordata; Actinopteri; Salmoniformes; Salmonidae.
CAAUCAUUUUGAAAUCACUUCACUCUCACACACACAACGUGCAGUCGCGCGGUGAGCGCUGGAGCGAACGAUCCCGAGGCAACCCAUAGUUGUGUAGCUGUACAGAGGGUGACUGACAGAGGACCAAAACGCUGGCAACUAAUGGACAUAUAGUAUAUUGUUUUGUUUUUUUACUCUGGAACCCUCUGCUACGGGAACAUAUUGAGGAUUAGCUUAGCAGCUGGUGAGAAUGUUCCAAACUAAGCACGGGAUGCUGCCAUAAAACUGGUCCGGAGACGUACUAUAUAUGGUUGUUUCCGUAUCCGAGGAGGGGACAACAAUCUGAUGUGCAGCGCUUCUGGUCACCAAGUUGUUUUCUGCCGGCAAUUAACGCACUCGAUUUGAUAUCAGGGGGACCGUCAUUGGAUUUGAAGGAAUAGGCUAACCGUCGUCGGCUGAUCAAGUGGAUUGUUUGUUGUUGGGGGUUUUUAUCACGGGGAGAGCGUUGUUCAUGUAUUGUGGAUUCCUACUUGUGGGGAGAUAUUGAGGGCUGAAGUGGCUUCGUUCAGGAGAGGCGAGGGAUCGAAGCUUCUAGCCCGGCUGAAGCACUCAGAACUGGGAUAGGCUACUGAGGAGUUCUCAUCCAUCCAAGACCGGUGCUGUGCCUGUCAAGUGGAGGGAUGGCGCUGAGGUGGGAUUCCACGCUGGUGUUGGCCGCCAUGCUUCUGGUUUGCUGUGGCGCCGAUCCCACUGACAUUCUCUACCGGAUGCUCGAGGAGCAGCCGCCCAACACGUUGAUCGGCAGCCUGGCAUCGGACGAGGGCCUGCCCGACUCAGGCCACCUGUACAAGCUGGAGGUGGGCGCCCCUUACCUGCGCGUGGAUGGCAAGACGGGAGACAUUUACACCACAGAGGUCCCCAUCGACCGUGAGACACUGCGGGACUGCCGCAACCUGCUCGAGGGCGACAAGUGCUUCCUGGAGUUCGAGGUGUCCAUCACGGACCUGAAGCAGGGCCAGGGACCGCGGCUGAUUGAGGGCCGCAUCGAGGUGCAGGACGUCAAUGACAACACACCCCAGUUCACCUCGCCCAUCCUCAUGCUGUCCAUCCCAGAGAACACACACAUCGGGGCACUCUUCUCCAUCCCCAUGGCCAGCGACAAGGACUCGGGCCACAACGGCGUAGCCGAGUACUCGCUUAGCGCCGGGCCUGACGCCGACCAGCUCUUCAACCUGCAGGUGGCCGAGGACACAGACGAGAAGCAGCCGCAGCUCAUCGUCAUGGGCAACCUGGACCGUGAGCAGAAAGACUCGUACGAUCUCAACAUCCGUGUGGUGGAUGGGGGCACACCGCCGCGAGCCAGCAGCGCCCUGCUGAGGGUGACCGUCACCGACCAGAACGACAACGCACCCAAGUUUGAGAGGAGCCACUAUGAGGCUGAGCUGGCUGAGAACAGCCCUGUGGGACACUCAGUCUUGCAGGUGAAAGCCAACGACGCUGACAUGGGUACCAACGGGGAGAUCGACUAUAGCCUGCACCAGGCCUCCGAUGCCGUCCAGAGGUUGCUACGCAUUGACCGCUCCACAGGGAUCAUCUACGUCAAGGGGCUGGUGGACCGCGAGGAGGAGAGCUUCCUCAAGUUCUUCGUGGUGGCCAAGGACCGCGGCCCCAACUCCAAGAACUCCAAAGUCCUGGUGACCAUCAACGUCAAGGACCAGAACGAUAAUGCACCCGCCAUCGAGAUCCGUGGCAUCGGCCUGGUCACCCACCACGACGGCGUGGCCAACAUCUCAGAGGACAUGCCCAUCGGCACGCCUGUGGCCCUGGUGCAGGUGUCGGAUCGUGAUGAAGGGGAAAAUGCUGUGGUCACCUGUGUGGUGGCCGGGGACGUCCCCUUCCAGCUGCGGCCCGCCAGCGAGUCAGCCAACGACCGCAAGAGGAAAUACUUCCUGCAGACCACGACCCUGCUAGACUACGAGCGCAUCAAGGACUACAGGAUUGAAAUAGUAGCGGUGGACUCCGGUAACCCUGCACUGUCCAGCACAAACUCCCUGAAGGUGCAAGUCACCGACAUGAAUGACAAUGCCCCUGUAUUCUCCCCCACCCUGUUUGAGGUGGACUUUGCAGAGGAGAAUCAGCCAGGUGAUAAGGUCCUGGAUGUGGUGGCCACGGACGCGGACAGUGGGUCCAACGCAGAGCUGACCUACAGCAUCAUCAUGGACUCGACCACUAAGGGGCUCUUUGAGAUCGACCCCAAAACGGGAGAGGUGCACGUGAGGAAUACGCUGGACCGUGAGCACAGAGAGCAGUACGAGUUCCACGUGGCAGCGGCCGAUAAGGGCUCGCCUAGCCUGAGGGGGACAGCCACGGUAGUGGUCAAGGUGCUGGACCGUAACGACAACGAACCCAAGUUCAUGUUGAGCGGCUACAGCUUCUCCGUUUUGGAGAACAUGCCUCCGCUCAGCCCUGUUGGCAUGGUGACGGUCAUCGAUGCAGAUAAGGGCGAGAACGCCAGGGUUCGGCUCUCGGUGGAGCCCGACAAUGGCAAGUUUGUCAUCCAGAAUGGCACAGGCACUAUCCUUUCCAGCAUCUCCUUUGACCGUGAGAAGGAGAGCACAUACACUUUCCGCCUCAAGGCUGUGGACGCCGGUGACCCUCCCAGGUCCUCCUACGUGGGUGUGACCAUCAACGUCUUGGACGAGAACGAUAACUCCCCCUACGUCACCAAGCCCUCUAACUCCUCCUACAAGUACCUCCCACCUCUCACGACCCCCGAGACACGCGUGGAAGUGGUGGAGGCUGAAGACAUCGACACAGGACCCAACGCCGAGCUGGUCUUCAGCAUUACCGGCGGGAACCCCUACGGACUGUUUCACAUCUCGCCCACCAAUGGGGAGAUAACCCUGGCCCAGGAGUUCACCCGCAAGCACAACGGGCUCCACCGUCUGGUGGUGAAGGUGAGCGACAAAGGCAAGCCACCACGCCACACCACCGCCCUGGUCCACAUCUUCGUCAACGAGACCAUGGGCAACAUCACCCUGAUUGAGUCUCUGGUGGGUCACAGCCUCUACACUCCUCUGGACAGAGACAUUGCCGGGGACCCCAACUACGCGCUGGCCCAGCGCAGCAAUAUCCUGUACGGCAGCCUAGCGGGCAUCGCCGGAGUCAUCCUGGUCAUCGUGGUGGUGGUGGUGAUCCGCCAUCGCAUGCAGAAGGACACCAAGAGCGGCUACCAGGCGGGCAAGAAGGAGAGUAAGGACCUGUACGCCCCCAAAGCAGGGCCCAAGAAUGGCAAGGGCAAAAAGAGCAAGAAGGGCAAGGUGCCCAAGCCCACCAAGCCACUGGAGGAGGAUGAAGAGGCCAGCCUCCAGAAGGGCCUCAACUUCAACCUCAUAAACGAUAGUGUCAAUGACAGUCCCCGGAUCCACCUGCCCCUCAACUACCCCCCGGGCAGCCCCGACCUGGGCAGACACUACCGCUCCAACUCCCCACUGCCCUCCAUCCAGCUGCAGCCCCAGUCCCCCUCUGCCUCCAAGAAGCACCAAGCCGUUCAGGACCUGCCUGCCACCAACACCUUUGUGGGCACAGGUGACAACAACUCUACAGGCUCCGAUCAAUAUUCGGAUUACAGCUACAAGGCAAACCCGCCGAAAUACAGCAACAAACAGCUCCCCCAUCGCCGAGUGACCUUCUCCACGGCCAAUCAGGCUCAAGACCUACAGGACCCCUCCCAGCACAGCUAUUACGACAGCGGAUUGGAGGAAUCGGAGACCCCCAGCUCCAAAUCAUCAUCGGGGCCCCGUAUUGGGCCCCUGGCCCUGCCUGAGGACCACUACGAGAGGACCACCCCGGACGGCAGUAUCGGAGAGAUGGAGCACCCGGAGAACGGUGCAGUAUCGGGCGCUGAUCAAGAGAUGGGGGCCAGCCAAAAAAGACUGCCUUAAGACACAAUACUUUUUUCUUCAAAUUUUCAAAAAGAUUGAGUGCACUCGCUUUUUCUCUGCUGCAGUUCAAAGGAUCUUUUCCUUUCCAUCAUUUGCCUGUGGUCGUGAACUGCUUUUAUCGCUUGAUGUCUGUCAAAUAGAAACUUGGUACAAGUCUCCUUUGUGGAGUAACGAAAGAAGGAGAAAAACUCUGACAAAAGUUAUUGAUAACUCAAAAUAAUGACUGGAACUUUUGUCUUUUUGGAGGACAAGACUGGCAGUUGAGUCAUCCUCCCUAAGAUUUCCCUUCUCUUCUUUUUUAAAUAUUUUUGGAGCGGAACUCAUUCUCUGUGGAUACUGCGGCCUUCUUCAUACGGAUCAAUAUCUAAUGGAUCCAUUACGUUAUAACUGGAUUAUUUUUUGGGCUGUCUUUUUGCGGUCACUGUGCUAUCUCCUUCUUUGUCUUAUUUGGACUGGUUCCACUACAUGUGUUGAGGUGGGGUGGGGGGGCAAACCAUCCUACCAGCCCCACUCCUCUCUGCCCCGUCAAUCUUACCCCUGGUGACUGUCUGUCUGUUCAUCGACUGUGAUUGACAGUCAGAGUAAUCAGGACAGGGUUUGGCAGAUCUCAGGCCUCUGCCUGAUGUGGCCAUGACUGGGAAUUGCACCCAUGAGUGUACCGAGUUCGGCCACUCCGACGCCUGCUGGAUGCCUGGACAGCCCUCCCCCAAUCGUAAGAGCUCCACCAAGAACGCCCCCAAGCUCUCCACCUUCGUGCCUUACCUGGAGAGUGAGGGGCAGGACCACCUCAUGGCUAACGGCAGCCCCAAGCCCAUGGCAGAAGAGCGUGGGAGUGGUGGAGGUGGCAGCGGAGGCUCCAAGGUGGCUAACAUCCGCUUCCUUCCCCCUUACAGCAGUGCCUUCUCCGGGGGCAGCGACUCCGGCAAAGGCUGCGAGGAGAUCCCCCUGAGCCAGGCAGCCGAGUACCACUCUGCCACCACACCCACCAACCAGGGCUCCAAGAGAGAGAUUUACCUGUGAGGGCGAUGAUGUGGCCACCACCCCACCACCUUCACCCUUACCCGUAUGCCCACUGUUCCUGACCCCAUGCCCCCAAGCCUACCCCCUCACUGCCCCUGUGCCUAGCUGCUAUGUCGUCUGAGAAGUGCCAUAGCACCACCACCACCCUCCUUUUUAUAACCACCUCCCACCGUAUGAGGCUUUAGAAUCCACAAAACCUCCUAUUAAUUAAAUAAAGAGUACAAAUCAGUCAAAGCCAAACGAAGAAGAUACUUGGCGAGUGCAAAUGCUACUGAGAGAAUGUAAACUACACUAUCAUUUAAACAUUGUGAUAACUUAAUUGGAGACUAUUUAGUUAUGGUUGCGUGUUCAAGUUAUUUUUUUUGACGAUGGAUUUCGGUUGGAGUUCCGUUGGAACUGAAAACAACGAGGGUAGAAAAGUGUUCUUGUAAAAUAGACACAUGAAUACACAGUGAUAGGUCAUCUAUUUUAGGUGUUCUUUCGGUUUUUCUGUUUUGUUUCCUUUUUUUAGAAGUGAGUGUCAGUCUCAACUCUGGGACCUCAAAUUAAUAAGCAAUAAGGCACAGGGGGUUGUAGGAUAUGGCCAAUAUACCAUGGCUAAGGACUGUUAUUUGCACGACGCACCGCGGAGUGCCUGGAUACAACCAUUAGCCGUGGUAUAUUGGCCAUAUACCACAAACCCCUGAGGUGCCUUAUUGCUAUUAUAAACUGGUUACUAAAGUAAUUAGAGCAGUACAAUAAAUGUACCCAUGGUAUACGGUCUCAUAUACCACAGCUGUCAGCCAAUCAGCAUUCAGGGCUGGAACCACCCAGUUUAUAAUUAGAAUUAGAGCGGUGUUUCUCUUGCCUGACUACCCAAACUCCUUGCUCCGGCAAAAUGCUACACCACACCCACGGAUGUUAGUUUCUUCUCCGCAAUGAGUCAUGAUCCGAGUAUCUUGCGCAACGAUUUCUAGAAGAGGAAAUAAACAUUCUAGCCAUUCUGAUUGGUCCCAGAGACCAAUGGGUUGGGACAGAGCCAGAACACGUGGGUAAAGCGGCAGUUUGAAAAUUCGUCAUUGGCUUUGAUACUCUGAUUGGUUAGAGAUGAUCCAAUCACUGAUUACUUUGUUUUGUACACCACCCCUCAUUUUAGUCGACACCACAAACAACUUCAAUGAUGGCAGUCUCAGACUGAAGUAUGUAGCGAACUAUAGAGCAGCGGAAGAAUUCAGUUUGAGUCAUCAGGCAAGUCCUGCUCCUACUCAAGAGGACACAGCUGACUGAUCAUUUUGCCAACCUUUGCUCAACAUAAGACAUUAAAGUCCUCAACACAUUUUUCACAGCCAAGAGGUCUUUAUCAAUGUACAGAGCUGUAAAUACAAUGGACAUGAGUUUAAGCAUUUUAUUCAAUUUUUUUCCUUUGGCUGUAAAGAGCUUCAAUAAGAGCUGUACCUUUUUGAGUCAUUGUUGUUAAGAUCUCACAGUGAUGUGGAACCUUUGUUGGUUGGUUGUGUUAUCCAUGAUGCACCGGUGGACAAUACCAAGUGUAACACUGGCAGGAUUUAUAACCUGUGACACAUCACUGAACAUGUGAAGCUACAGUACAAAUGUGUGACUUUGUAUUCCUCAUCUUUACUAUGAUCUUGGACAAAAGAAAAACACUUGAGAAAAAAAAUGGUGCUGGUGUUAAAUGUGUUGGCUGAAGGGGAUGUCAAUGUCUACUGCUGUGCAUUUUCAAUCCCUUGCCACCCAAAUCUCAAACUCCUUGAUUGAGGUCUCACCGAAGGAUCAAUUCACACCAGGUAUCCAGUUGGAGAGCAACAAGAAACAGCUUGCUUUUAUUAAGGUGUAUCGUUCCAUGGUGCACGAACUCCAUAACUCUAACUCCCAUAUAUUGCAAUCUCUAGUUUCUAAGUUUGGCAAUUUAGUAGUCAUCUUUGUGAAAACUGAUGGUAUUUAUCACCUGCUGUUCCAAGUCAGCUCCCCACUGUAGCACGUCUGUUAGAGACCUGCUGUGGGUGAGGUAAAGGCUGUCCUGGUCCUGUGGUGUGACAGUGGUAGUAGUUGUAGAGUUGGGGAGGAUUCACAGCUCUCCUAUACACUAGCGCGCUAACCCCGCUAACCCCGCCAUGCAGAGGCAUUGCUCUAAUUGAACCUGGAGGCAUCGUUCAUUAGCAGUGAUCAUUUCCACAUCUCAAAACCGAGCAGGGUGUCCUGGCGGUUUGGAAGUUAAUUUGGAGUCUCAUAAUAAUAACUGCUGACAGUAAUGGGGAUUUCACCUGUGGCAAUGAGCAUCAGCCAUGAUUGGACUAAUGAAAACGCAUUGAGGAGAAAAAAGAGAGCGUGAAAAAGACCUCCAGACUACUAACACUACAGCUGGAGCUCUCGCACAACAUAAACACCACCGCAGGACACACUCAAAGAGACAUUGUUGUUGUUAUGGCUUGCUAGAAUACAAAACAUGAUUCAGGUGUGGUCAUUUAAGGGUCAUGACAUCAAAAAGCUAAGGUCACAAGGUCAGGCUAGUAUGUGUAUCUUAUGUUCCUGUAUCUGACCGUAGACUGCAUUUUUUUUAAUGCAUUUCUAGUGUGCUUUGAAUUACAGUUCACAUUCUACAAGUCCAUGGCUGACUUGAUUGUGCGUGCUUCAAUGCAUACCAUGAUAUAAAUGUGACUAAAUGGUUAAUCAUUGUAAAUAAUGUAUCAUUUAAAAAUCUCAGUCAUAGGUCUAUCAUGGUGACAAUCAAUCCCUGUGACCUUUGAAAAAGCGUGUAUUUUAUUUAAAGCCACAUAAUAAAGGGAUAGGCUACAUGAACAAAUAAGGCACGAAAGGAACGGUGGACAGCAUUGAAUCUGUUUUGAAUCUGUUUGAAAUCAACUGUAUUUCAGUUCUACUGGGCUAUGUCAACAUUGUACAAUAUAUUACAUUAAUUAAUGAAUACAAUUUUCAUCAUCACUCAUUCUAAUGAACACAAAGUAAUGUUCAACCAAAUCUUCCCAAUGACUACUCCACAGGAAGGUCCAUACACAGUAACAGAAGGAUCUUGGACCUCAAGUAACUGUUCAUUCAAAGUAUAUCUCAACAUUGAUUUCAUGUCCUUGUUUGAUAAUUUAUAGAUCAAACACUGGUCCGAUAUUAAGUCACUGGUUUCCCCUGUGGUGUUCCUUCACAGCAAACAAGCAAUUUUUUUCUCUCUGACAGGGCCUCUAGUCCCCUGGUUCUUCCUGACAGGGCCUCUAGUCCCCUGGUUCUCUCUGACAGGGCCUCUAGUCCCCUGGUUCUCCCUGACAGGGCCUCUAGUCCCCUGGUUCUCCCCGACAGGGCCUCUAGUCCCCUGGUUCUCCCUGACAGGGCCUCUAGUCCCCUGGUUCUCCCCGACAGGGCCUCUAGUCCCCUGGUUCUCCCUGACAGGGCCUCUAGUCCCCUGGUUCUCCCCGACAGGGCCUCUAGUCCCCUGGUUCUCCCUGACAGGGCCUCUAGUCCCCUGGUUCUCCCUGACAGGGCCUCUAGUCCCCUGGUAACCUCCCUUGCCCACCCAUGGACUGAUCAGGACCUCCAGCGCCGGAGGGAUAGACUCUAAGCCCUUCUGAGCUCCAUCUUCUGAGUUGACAUAGCUGAUAUACAGAGGGCUGAAGGAGAAGAGGGCUGAGGGGGAGGAGGGGGAGGGGGAGGAGGGGUCCUUGAACAACAAAUGGGGAGGGAGAUGGAGAUAGAGAUGGAGUGAGAGUAAAUGAUUUGUGAAGGGGGUAGGUCAUGUGGCACCAAUUAACCCCAGCUUUUUGUGGUGGUGUGGAGAAGCUGACCUUUGAAAUGCAAUGCUAUUUGCUUUCCUUUAACCUUUGAGGCUCAAUGUGAACACAGGGUGAAAUUUGAGAGGGGAUGAGGAGAGCAUGUGUGUGUGUGUGUGUGUGUGUGUGUGUGUGUGUGUGUGUGUGUGUGUGUGUGUGUGUGUGUGUGUGUGUGUGCACACGCUUGUAUGUAGCACACAGGUGUUUUUUCUGUAUUUGUAGCUUUAGAGGUGCUGCCUGCAUACUGUAAAAAGAUGGCUCCACCUAAGCUCUAUGGACUCUUCUGACAGUCUCACAAACUCUCACUCUCUCCAAGGGGAAUCACCUGGAGUUUAUCCCUAGAGAGGAGCUGUCACAGAUACUGGCAGGAGAAGACUGUGUGCGUGUGUGCGCGUGCAUGCGUACGAGAGAGUGUGCACGUGUGUCUAGCACCACUGCAGCAGCAUCCUAUUUUAUGCUGAGGCAAAGCAUGCCUAUGUUGAUUUGGUUGGUUUAUUGCUUUGUGUGUGCAUUUUAUUCAAUUGUAUUCCUUAAUUCAUGAAGCAUGUAGAACUCUUUACCUCAACGGAUCGGCUUAUACAGUAACUGGUCCGUGAAACAUGGAAUGCAGUCAGUGCAGAUAGGCGUAACAUGGAUGACAAGGGAUAUUAUUUGGCACACCUUUUUCACAUCCCUUUUGUGUUUUUGUGCUCAGUACUUUUCAAAUCCUCAUCAUGAUGAUAAUUCCACCUGGUUUGCUUUUAAGAGACAAUUUUACAGAUUCAGAGAAUUGGGUGUGCUCAUAAAUAUGGUUGGAUAUUAAUUAUAGUGAAUAGAAAAUGGAAUGUAGAUCAGUACUCGUAAUGUUAUCAAGGGAUUCCCUUGUUGGUCUAUAUAUCUUGAUUCCUAAGUAUUCAUUAAAGCAACCUAGAAUGAGUUUAGAGUGCUAAUUGAAAUCACUUUGCUUUCCAGUGUGUGACGUUUAGGUGUGUGUUUUGAAAAUGGCUCAGUCAAUGGUAUGUGGAGUGACAUUGAGCACUCAUUUAUAGGACCCAACCAUUAUAAUGACAUCACUGGGGUGGGCAGUUCAAUUCGAAGCCCACCUCCAAGGUCUAUCAAUUAUGUUAAAGCUCCAAUCACAUCACAUUAUGGUGUCAAAUCAUACCAGCAGAACAAACAAGACACAGUUAAUCAAGGUGCAAAUAUCAACUGGGGCUGGUCAAAGACAUAGGUAGGUGCUGGUUGUUCCUGAUGAGGAGAUUUAGUAGAGCAUGAAAAAGCCAAUUUUAUAAAUAUAUACAUUUUUGUUGUUGUCAACGUUGUUUUAUUAAUAGAAUAAAAACAACACAGCUAUAAACA